This 1513-nucleotide long non-coding RNA is filed under the name Olea europaea (common olive). RNAcentral describes it as "long non-coding RNA (OEUR_LNC012493)". The record is from RNAcentral. Lineage: Eukaryota; Viridiplantae; Streptophyta; Magnoliopsida; Lamiales; Oleaceae.
AUACUGCAAAAUUUCUUAUUUAGUAUCUUGUUGAAAAGAGUUUGUUUUCCCCUAUCCUUGGAGAGUUUGUGGUUCUUCGAAAUAGUUAUUGUUUCCAUGGAGAUUAUGUUGAUGAACUCAGUGACCCAAAUAGCUGAUAUAUUCUUUGUUGCUGGUUGCUUUUACAACAAAAAGAUUUCCACCCAACAUCAAUAGCAAUGGAAGCAUUUGCCUUGAUAUUCUUAAAGGUACAAUCAUGCUACAUGUGCAUCAUUCUGUACAUCUUGGUUUGUAUUCUUCCUCAUGGAACCAUUUUCCUUAGAUUUUCCCCUCAAUCUUUCAAAUCACUGCCCAUAUUGUGCUACAUAGUGGGAAUGUCAUCCAUGGUGCAAGGGAAAAUGUACAUCUAGCAUUAUUGAUCUAAGGUAAUUAAUUUUUUUUUUUUUGUUAUAAUAAUGAGAUGACAUCAUUUAGCUAUGUAACAGAUUACAAUGUAUGCUCGGGAUUCAUUUGGUUCUCGUUUGGUCAAUACACUAACUUGGUUCGGAAGACAAGAAAAAUAAAUCAGGGAUUUGGCUUGGGUUUUAGGUGAUUUUAAAAUUGGUAAUCAAAGUAAACUUAUUUUAUUACUUAGUUAUGAGAAAAAAUUGUUGGGUUGAAGUCACCAAAGUAAACAGCCAAUCCAAUAUGAUGAUCAUAAUUACAACACAUAUAAAAAAAACUUCUUUUAAUAUGUUGAGGAAUAUCCCUAUCAAUAAUUAUCUAGGAAAUGGCGACGUUCCACAUAUAGAAAUAAAUUCCCGAGUAUGAUCUUCUCUUACUUUUCUUUAAACCAUUUUCCAAGUUGCAUGCACAUGUUGGAUUGCCAUUAUCGUAUACGAUAGAUCUUCACAUUUCAUAUGUCAAUAUUAUCAAGUUUAGAUUCUCAAAAUUUAAACUCUCUCUCCAGAUAUACUAUUAUUACCCUUUGACUGCUCCUUUGGACCUUACUAAGGUUUACAAUAACAUCCAAUGGAAUAGCACAAAGGCCCAACACGUUGACGCAAUAAUUCAUAUAAGACGCAACUAGGUAAGUUCCUCAUUUCAAUUCCAUUAUGUCUUCUCAUUUCUUCAUGCACCUUAAAUGCUUCAUCUCUAUUUUCAAAGAGUAAAAUCAUAUGUAAAUUGACCACAUUAAAUUAAGUUCAUUUUCCUUACCUCAUCGAAUACUAAUUUUACCUUCAAAAUAACUCUGCCCGUGCACUGCACGAGCAACAAACUAGUUUAUACAUAAAAUUCGUGCAUGUAACACAAACCAACCCCCCCCCCCUCAAACGCAUAAUUUAAUUCAUUUUUAAAUAUGUAGUGAUAUCUAUUAUUUAACAAGAGCACGUGCCCAUUUAUUUUUAUUAUAAGAUAUAACAUGAAUCACCAAAAUCAUUUCAAAAUAAAUUUAGUACCUUAACAAGAGGCUUGAAAUGACAUCCAAGAAUUCCAAGAACGUAAAUCAGAAGUGGGUGGAAAAAAAUUUGUUACAUAUUUUCUUCGUGUGUUG